Molecule: ribosomal RNA, 378 nt
Filed under: uncultured bacterium
Lineage: Bacteria
Description: bacterial SSU rRNA
Rfam family: Bacterial small subunit ribosomal RNA
Source: RNAcentral
UAAUACGUAGGGUCCGAGCGUUGUCCGGAAUUAUUGGGCGUAAAGAGCUCGUAGGCGGUUGGUCGCGUCUGCUGUGAAAGCCCGAGGCUCAACCUCGGGUCUGCAGUGGGUACGGGCCGACUUGAGUGGUGUAGGGGAGACUGGAAUUCCUGGUGUAGCGGUGGAAUGCGCAGAUAUCAGGAGGAACACCGAUGGCGAAGGCAGGUCUCUGGGCACUUACUGACGCUGAGGAGCGAAAGCGUGGGGAGCGAACAGGAUUAGAUACCCUGGUAGUCCACGCCGUAAACGUUGGGCGCUAGAUGUGGGGACCUUUCCACGGUUUCCGUGUCGUAGCUAACGCAUUAAGCGCCCCGCCUGGGGAGUACGGCCGCAAGGCUA